GCGUGGUCCUAGCUCUUGGGCACCUUACUAGCCAAAAGGUCAGGCAAAAGAGCGCCAAAAGGAAAUAACAGGUGCUGCAUGCACACAUUCAAUGCGCAACAGCACACCAUACAAUACAAGUAAAAUGAUACGGAACAUAAUUCGGACAAAGUAAAAGACAUACAUUAUGUUAACGCUUGGCGCGGUGCUAGCUCUCAGGCACCUACACAUGGACACUCAAACACUGUCCCAAGUCCUCACAAGUUACAAUAGAUACCCUAGUUAGCGAGCUUUGUGAAACUAGUUAACAUAAAUAUUUAUAUUAUCCACAUUGUAACAAACGUAUGGUAGCAUAACAGUACAUUGUGUAACAUUACCACGGUUUUAUAUUGAACCAUUUCGGAGCCAAGGACAACAUACCUUGCUAGCCGAAGGUCAGGCAAAAUAACAAUAAGGGGGUACGGAAAUACAGAUAACCCGCGAUGGACCAAACCAAAACAUACAAAACUUUUACAAUCACAUGUAUGUACAAUAUUGAUGUGGAAAAGUGUUUGUACACCAAAGAAAAACAUUAGCUAUGCAGCUGUAAUUAAAUAAAUAAAUACACUGAAUUAUGAUUAUUAUCAAAUUAUUAACAUCCCCUCAGAGUUGUCCAUUUUUAAAGAAAUGCAGCCAAUUUAUUCAUUACAUUUAGCUAACAUAGUUAAUCAAGAGAUUCUUACUUUUGCCUCCAUCAGCAUGAUUGUAAUGACAUUUGUAGUUCUUUAUAACCACAUUAGCAGCUAAUUAGCAUUCCAUGUUGGGUAAAUACAGGCAAAUAUAUUGAUAAAAGUCACCUUGACCUAGAGAUUUACACAGAUAUCAAACUGUCACACCAGGGUAAACCUACCUGAACCACAGCCCUUAUUUUGUGAAAAUGGAAUGGAAUGGUGGAAAAACAAUUGGAACCAUUUCCCUGUUUGACCGCUAGGUUUUAUGGUAUUAUGACUCAUACUGUGGUACUCUAUAGGGCUCCGGCCAAAAUAAGUGCUGUCUUUCAGGAAUCAGUGGGAAUGACCUCACCCUCACAGACCUGGGUGACCCCAUCAAUGACGGUGAUGUUAUGAAGGAAGUCAAACCUGAUACAGAUCAGAGAGACAGACCAAGUUGGAAGAGGCUGUUCUAGAGACAGAUAUCCCAACUCUGUGACUUGAGGAUGAAGGAGAAAUUAAGAUGCAGGAGGCUGAUCUGAAGACAGAUGGCACAUCUCAGUCACAGGAGGUUGAGGGAGAGAGCGAGUUGGACGAGGCCAUUGUCAUCCCAUCUCAGUCACAGGAGGAGGCCAAAGGAGA
Long non-coding RNA from Oncorhynchus tshawytscha (Chinook salmon), 1310 nucleotides. The record is from Ensembl. Lineage: Eukaryota; Metazoa; Chordata; Actinopteri; Salmoniformes; Salmonidae.